RNAcentral lists this ribosomal RNA (483 nucleotides) under uncultured bacterium. RNAcentral's name for it is "partial 16S ribosomal RNA". It matches the Rfam family "Bacterial small subunit ribosomal RNA", at positions 30 to 507 of the family's 1533-position model. The record is from RNAcentral.
AUUGAACGCUGGCGGCAGGCCUAACACAUGCAAGUCGAGCGGAUGAAGGGAGCUUGCUCCUGGAUUCAGCGGCGGACGGGUGAGUAAUGCCUAGGAAUCUGCCUGGUAGUGGGGGAUAACGUCCGGAAACGGGCGCUAAUACCGCAUACGUCCUGAGGGAGAAAGUGGGGGAUCUUCGGACCUCACGCUAUCAGAUGAGCCUAGGUCGGAUUAGCUAGUUGGUGGGGUAAAGGCCUACCAAGGCGACGAUCCGUAACUGGUCUGAGAGGAUGAUCAGUCACCCGGGACCUGGGCACCGGUCAAGCCCCCUCGGGGAGGCACCGGUGGGAAUUUUUGGCCAAUGGGCGAAAGCCUGUCCCAGCCAUGCCGCGUGUGUGAAGAAGGUCUUCGGAUUGUAAAGCCCUUUAAGUUGGGAGGAAGGGAAGUAAGUUAAUACCUUGCUGUUUUGCCGUUACAACAGAAUAAGCACCGGCUAACUUCGUG